GAUGAAGAACGCAGCGAAAUGCGAUACGUAAUGUGAAUUGCAGAAUUCAGUGAAUCAUCGAGUCUUUGAACGCACAUUGCGCCCCCUGGUAUUCCGGGGGGCAUGCCUGUCCGAGCGUCAUUGCUGCCCACAAGCACGGCUUGUGUGUUGGGCCUCCGUCCUCCUCCCGGGGGACGGGCCCGAAAGGCAGCGGCGGCACCGCGUCCGGUCCUCGAGCGUAUGGGGCUUCGUCACCCGCUCUUGUAGGCCCGGCCGGCGCUUGCCGACACAUCAAUCUUUUUUCCAGGUUGACCUCGGAUCAGGUAGGGAUACCCGCUGAACUUAAGCAUAUCAAUAAGCGGAGGA
Molecule: unclassified non-coding RNA, 345 nt
Filed under: soil metagenome
Description: partial contains 5.8S ribosomal RNA, internal transcribed spacer 2, and large subunit ribosomal RNA
Rfam family: 5.8S ribosomal RNA (bases 1-120)
Source: RNAcentral